UCGCCCAUUAAAGAGGUACGCGAGCUGGGUUCAGAACGUCGUGAGACAGUUCGGUCCCUAUCCGCUGUGGGCGUUGGAGAUUUGAGUGGGGCUGUCCUUAGUACGAGAGGACCGGGACGGACUUGCCUCUGGUGCACCAGUUGUCUUGCCAAAGGCACAGCUGGGUAGCUACGCAGGGACGGGAUAAGCGCUGAAAGCAUCUAAGUGCGAAGCCCUCCACGAGAAGAGAUCUCCCCCAAUUAUGGUAAGGCCCGUGAGAGACUAUCACGUUGAUAGGUCGGAGGUGUAAGUGUAGUAAUACAUUCAGCUGACCGAUACUAAUAGGCCGAAAGCUUGGCCG
Molecule: ribosomal RNA, 340 nt
Filed under: Clostridiales bacterium
Lineage: Bacteria; Bacillati; Bacillota; Clostridia; Eubacteriales
Description: partial 23S ribosomal RNA
Rfam family: Bacterial large subunit ribosomal RNA
Source: RNAcentral